Carassius auratus (goldfish) is the source of this 449-nucleotide long non-coding RNA. RefSeq lists it as uncharacterized. The record is from RefSeq and is a predicted model, not a curated record. The transcript is spliced from 4 exons. NCBI's taxonomy places the organism in Eukaryota, Metazoa, Chordata, Actinopteri, Cypriniformes, Cyprinidae.
CAGAGAGGCUCUGCGCCCAUUUGAGUUUCCAGACGCAUUCAGAACCACGGGACACACGCGGAAAGCUGGAGGAAAACAAGUUUAGCCCCUAUUCAGUCCUGAAUUCUGCAUGAGUCUCAUGACCAUGUGAAUGUCUUCUUAUAUCUGCUCCAUCUGCUUCAUCUCUGAAAGCAGAAACCAAACUAAAGGACCUCCGAACUCUGCAGGGCGAUGAUGGAUGUCUUGCAGUUGUCGGGUCCAAAUCAGAGUCCAGGACAGUACAGAAAAUGGGACACAGAUGGGAUGUUUGUCCUGCCGCCUGAAAGAAACACAUGAAAGAUGUAUCCCACUAUCUCCUUCUCUUUUCUUCAAAAUAUGCAUAAUUUACCUACAAUAACAGAAUUCAGUCUUGCUGUGUGAGAGACCUAAUAUUAAUAUUUUAAUUUCUAGAAUAAAAUGUAAGUGCAAAA